UAGGGAAUCUUCGGCAAUGGGGGGAACCCUGACCGAGCAACGCCGCGUGAGUGAAGAAGGUUUUCGGAUUGUAAAGCUCUGUUGUUAAGGAAGAACGAGUGUGAGAAUGGAAAGUUCAUGCUGUGACGGUACUUAACCAGAAAGGGACGGCUAACUACGUGCCAGCAGCCGCGGUAAUACGUAGGUCCCGAGCGUUGUCCGGAUUUAUUGGGCGUAAAGCGAGCGCAGGCGGUUAGAAAAGUCUGAAGUGAAAGGCAGUGGCUCAACCAUUGUAGGCGUUGGAAACUGGUGAACUGGAGUGCAGAAGGGGAGAGUGGAAUUCCAUGUGUAGCGGUGAAAUGCGUAGAUAUAUGGAGGAACACCGGUGGCGAAAGCGGCUCUCUGGUCUGUAACUGACGCUGAGGCUCGAAAGCGUGGGGAGCGAACAGG
Molecule: ribosomal RNA, 429 nt
Filed under: Bacteroidota bacterium
Lineage: Bacteria; Pseudomonadati; Bacteroidota
Description: Bacteroidetes bacterium partial 16S ribosomal RNA
Rfam family: Bacterial small subunit ribosomal RNA
Source: RNAcentral